UAUAUAUGCAGCGAGAAUAAUAGCAAAACAAAACAAAACAUCUCCCUCAUGGAAGUUGUAAUGAACAAAGGAAAGUGCUUAUUUUGCUUUAAUGUGGAGUACCAUACAAAUGCUUUUAUAAUUUCUGUUAUUUUUGGUAAAUUCUUCUGGCUGGAAAGUGUCCCCCCCACACACACACACACACCCCUUAGGGUACUAGGGAUGGAACCCACAAUGAAACUGAUCUACAUCCCAGCCCUUUAAAAAAAAAAAAAAAAGUUUUAUUUUGCUGGGCAUUGUGAUCCACGCCUGUAAUCCCAUAAUCCCACCUGCUUGGAGGUGUGAGGCAGGAGGAUUACAAGUUCCAGGCCAGCCUCAAAAUUUUAGCAAGGCCCUAAACUACUUAGCAAGACCCUGUCUCAAAAUUUAAGAAGAGAGAGAGAGAGAGAGAGAGAGAGAGAGAUAUUGAGCGCUGGGGAUGUGGCUCAGUGCCCAAGGAUUCAAUUCCAGCUACCAAAAAAAUUAAAAAAUAAAAGUUCUAUUUUCUAACAGGGGCUUGCUUGCUAAGUUGUCCAGGUUGGCCUUGAACUUGUGAUCUUUCUGCCUCAAUUUCCCAGAUAGCUAAGAGGACAGGCCUGCAGUCACUACAUCCAGUAAGACAUGUUUGUUUGCUUGUUUUAUUUUGUUUUUGUUUUUGUUUUUAUUGUGCUGGGGUUGAAUCCAGUAGUGAUUUACCACUGAACUACACCCCCAACCCUAUUUGUGUAUUUAUUUCUUUCAAGACAGGGUCUCACUAAAUUGCCCAGGCUGAGCUCAAACCUUCCAUCAUUCUGCCCCAGCCACCUGAGUUGCUGAUUACAGGGGCCUACCACUGAGUCCAGCUGCCCAGCAAAGCAAUCAUGACAAAGGCUGCUGUGGUCAGUGAUUUUAAAUGAAUCCCAGUAUGCUGGGAGAGGUGACACAAAAGCUCAUGGACAAAGUGAGCCUUACGUUAUGACAAGUGUUGUAACAAUACUAUGCUUUCAUACAAGUGUCUUAGGGACACCUACCUGUUAAAGCCAGUCUGAAUUUUUGUUCAGUGAAUCCACAUUUGGAGACACAGUUAUUAACUGUGUUCCCCCACUGUUUCUCCCCCAUGUUGUUCCCCUAUUUCUCAACAUGGUUUAAUGAGCAUUUCUUUGUUUAUUAGAAAACUGGAAUAUGGCCAGGCAUGUCUGUAAUUCCAGUGGCUAGGGAGGCUGAAGCAGGAAGAUUGCAAGUUCAAAGUCAGCUUAAGCAAUUUAGUGAGGCCAUAAGCAACUUAAUGAGACCCUGUCUCAAAAUAAAAAAUAAUAAGGGCUAAGGAUGUGACUCAGUGGUUAAGCGCCUAAAAACAAAAAAAAAAAAAGAAAGAAAGAAAGAAAAUUGGAAUAUGUGUUGGUAUUUUAUUGCAGUUUUUCUAUUAAAACAUUGAUUCUUCUUUUUUCUCCAUAACUCAUCUCCUUCAAAGAAUAAUUUGUAAACAUUCAACAUGUGUACAAGUUCUUCUGAGGCAAGCAAGUACCUCACUUAAAAAAAACAAAUCCUUAUUUUUAGUUGUAGAUGGACACAACACUUUUCUUUUAUUUGUUUUUAUUUUUAUGUGGCCCAGGAGAUCAAACCCAGUGCCUCACGCAUGCUAGGCAAGCGCUCUACCACUGAGCCACAAUUCCAGCCCCAAGCAAAUUCCUCUUGAUUUGGAUCCUUCAUUCACCUCCUCUGUUAGUUUUCUUAUAGCCUUAGAGACUGGAAGCUCUCAGAAAUUUGCAGACCCACCAAGAAGAUGACACAUUUGGAACCCAAGAUGCUAAAGAAUCUCAAUGUACUGUGACUAUCAUCUUAUAGUUUCAUCUCUUUGGGAAUGAACAUGUUAGGAUAGUCAUAUAUAUAUAUAUAUAUAUAUAUAUAUAUAUAUAUAUAUAUAUAUACACACACACAUACACACACAUAUAUUUGUUGCAGUAUUUUUCCAUUUAAUAAUUUACUUAUUACUUCCUUAAUAACAGACUUUAGGUUAAUUUAUUGUGCUAUAUAAUUUUGAAAUACAUAUCCUACUAUGAAAAUUUGUAUUAUAGGUUAUUUUGGGGGUGGGUAACCAGAUACAAUCUUCCUCAGUCACAAUGUCCUUUAUGAUGGCAUUUUGUUCUUGUCAGUAAAAUAUUAUCCAUUUUCCUAGAGCUUAAGAUGGUAAAAUAAAUGUGAUGAUUGUACUACAGCAAUUCUAUAUCUACACAUAAUGGCCUUCCCUUCUCAAAAAGUUCCAAUUAUUAUACCUUCCAGGAUGUUACAGAAAUAUUUGGGUAGCUUUACUGUCAAGUAAAUCACAUACAAUUUGUUUUGAGGAGGAUGUAAUCUAAAGACUUCAUCAAUGCUGAAAAUGUACACAUUUUUUGCUGUGCUGAUAUUGCUGUACUGAAAGUUGG
RNAcentral lists this long non-coding RNA (2420 nucleotides) under Marmota monax (woodchuck). The record is from RNAcentral. Lineage: Eukaryota; Metazoa; Chordata; Mammalia; Rodentia; Sciuridae.